Molecule: long non-coding RNA, 2357 nt
Organism: Homo sapiens (human)
Lineage: Eukaryota; Metazoa; Chordata; Mammalia; Primates; Hominidae
Source: Ensembl
GGAAACCACCCCACAAUGGCAGGAGACACCAUGAGAUGUUUUCUACUGUAGAAACUUUCUCAUUAGAAAUAGCCCAUUUAUACAGGGGACUGGCUAAUGUUUUUCUAUGAGUAUCAUUAGCCAGUGUCUCAAAGUGGUGAAGAGACUGCAACCUGGAACAAGGAGAGACAAAGGGAAGGAGGAGUCUGGAGCCAUAUUGAAGAUGAAAUUGAGAUAUGGACUAGGUGGUGGAUCGUUUUUAUAAGAGGACAUAAAAGAGGAUGCUAAAGCUAAUUGCCACAAUCAGAACUCAAAGACCUAGCAAAUGCAAGGUGGUAUUUAUUCUAAACUCAGCAAAGUAGUAGAAAAAUAGUUUUGAGAACAGUUUUAAGGAGACUAGGGUAACAGUGAGAAAAUAGUUCAUGGCUAGUCUGGACUUAGGACUUUAGGGUCGGCCUGGUGAAUUGAAGGGAAGCAGCUGAUACACUCUGGUUGCCUUGUACCCUGGCUUUUGGUGCUUUCCCAUGUGCUGUAGUCAUCAGUAAUCUGGAGGAAAUGCUAUAGAGGCAAAGACACCAUUAGAUGGGUGCUCAACUAGCAAACAGGAUGUGACCACAGAGUAGUUACCCCAAGACCAGGUCAGCAUGACCCAAAAGGCAGAAGAGGACAAGGUUUAUGAGUGUUGGGCUGAGCUCACGCCUGCUUGAACAUCUCAAGAACAAUGUUAAUGAUGGAAGAGAGAGAUAGGAGAGGAAACUCAUUAAACUUGCCAAAUAUGAGAUGUAGCUGGGUUGGCUCUAUGUAAGCAUGGCAGAAAAGCAUUUAGAAGUCAUAAUACAUUUAAAAUAAGAGCUACCAGCAUAGCAGUGACAUGAAGAAGGCAUGUGUUUUGUUAAAAAGUUUUAAAUACUCCUAUAAAAGAUAGUAAGGUACAAGUUGUUUGCUUGAUCAGCAAUGCUAAUUGCCUUUGAAGUGCAUGCCUGGGGAUUCCAUGGAGAGAGGACCCUGUUUCUCCACCCCAACCCAAAUUCACUGAGUUUAUGUCAGAAUGUUCAGAAGCCCCUUUACAAAUUCCUCUGAUUGCCUUGUUAGACACUGGCCACCUCCCUGAACCUGGGCCAAGAUGAGGGUCUACACCUUGGCUUAGUUCUACUAUGAAAGACUUUCCUGCAGUAAAAGUUACCUGUCUGAAACAUUCAGAAGAGUGAAAAUGCCACAUCUCCAAUUUCCAGCAAUAUAUUUGUCUGCCAUGAUUUGGCCUGGAAGCUUAAGCAGGAAGACCACUUGGAGCCAGACUUCAGAGUGAUCUGUCUCUAAGGAAUAACUUUCAUAUUGCAGCGUUCGGUUUUGCAAUUCUUCCUAAGCUACUCUAAAUUCGCAGCAUAAAUCUGCAGAAAGACUUCACCCUCCACAUCAAACCCUUAUAAGGAUCCAUUUCUGCUCUCAUUUUAGAAUAUCUUUUCUAAUAGCUAAAGGCAGACAGAGGCAAACCAAGAAAUCCAGACUUUGCAUCAACGGGUUAAAUCAUAUGUCAAAGGUGCAACCAUAACGUAUUACAAGCUUCUCAUCACAUAAUACAUCACUCAAGAAAAAAUAUUUGGGCAGCUUUUCUAAUUCAUCUUCCUGGUGUUAAAGGAGCACAUCUCCAGUGUUCGUGUCUUCUGUUUCAAUUAAAGCAAUCAUGCCUACUCUUUUAGGAAACUACUAAGGAUACAAUAAGAAGUCAGCAGUCUGCAACCCAGAAGAGGACCCUCACUGGAACCCAGGAAUGUUGGCACUCUGAACUUAGAUUUUCCAGCCUCUAGAAUGCCUUAUGCAAAUCCUGGAAGAUAUCAAUUCUGAGGGCUGGGGUGUAUCUUGAUCACCUUUGGAAUCUACCACUGCAUGGAGCACAGCACUUACCACCUAGUAGGUAAGCAACAAAUGCUUGCUUGUCAAUUGAUUUAUUCAGUAGACUCAGUGCUAUGUGUACAUUAAACACCUGGGGAGCUUUAAACAAUAAACGAGCAAACCAACAAAUGCUGCAUCAGCCUAGACCAACACAAUCCUGAUCUCUGGAUGUGGGAUCCCCGCACUGUUCUGUUUGUUUCCAAGUUUGGAAGAAACAUAAUUGAAUCAUUUUGAGGAAUUCCAAUCCCUGACAAGAUGCCAGUGCUAUUUUACAGCAAGAGUAGACGAGGAAGGCUAUACUACGUGGUCCUGGGCAAGUUAUUUAAAUUCUCUGUGCCUCAGUUUUCUGAACCGUAAGAUGGGAAGAAUAAUAGUAACUACCUCUGGAGGCUGUUGUAAAAGUUAAAUGAUCUGAUCUAUGUAAAGCACUUAGAACAGUACCUGGUAUAUAAGUGUGUGAUAAAUAAAAUCCAAUAUGAAGAAGAGGA